CGGUGGCUGGGACUGCAGAGGGUCAGCUCGCCCCAGUCUCAGGCAGCGACUGGAAGAGGAUUACCAGAAUUACCGUUUGGCUUUUGCCUGCCUAAAUUCCACGUGUAUCUUGUCCUAAAGUGCAUCGUGUCUGCCUUCUUUAUAAAAGGCUGCGAGAUUAAAAGACUGUGGGGUUCGUGGGUGAAAACCGCUCUGUGAGACUUAGGCUGUUUGAGUUACUAUUUUUGGGAGCCUAACUCCACACCAGCCAUGGGCUGCCAGCCGGUGAUGCAGAGCAGAGUCAUCCUGUUGCUGAGCUGAACCUGGCUGUAGGCUUAUGUUACUCUGUUGCCUGGAACUGAAGAAACACCCUUCUGGUGUUCUCACAGUGUAGCCUGUGGUGCGGCAGGAGCUACCAGAGCCAUAAGGAUAGCAGGAGGCAAUGGCAGCUCUCUCUAGUCUCCUUUCUCCUCCUGCCCACGGCAGCAGCAACCCUCCAAGAGUGAAGCCCAGCAGGGAAAGCUCUUUCCUAACAGCUGGUCAACGUUUAAGGCAGCCUCUGGACACCUUUUUCUUGGAGGUUUCAGGUGCCAUUUCAGG
Harpia harpyja (harpy eagle) is the source of this 579-nucleotide long non-coding RNA. RefSeq lists it as uncharacterized. Lineage: Eukaryota; Metazoa; Chordata; Aves; Accipitriformes; Accipitridae. The transcript is spliced from 3 exons. The record is from RefSeq and is a predicted model, not a curated record.